CCCAGCAGUUAUUCUUCAUCCGGGAAGCAUUAGCAGCGACAUUCUUCAGUAGCGAAUCAUCAGUUGGGGCAUCCGGAUUUGGAGGAUGUUGGUUCGAGAUGAGCGUCUCGAUGUGGGAAUGGUAUUGGCA
This is a long non-coding RNA of Zingiber officinale, 130 nucleotides long. RefSeq lists it as uncharacterized. The record is from RefSeq and is a predicted model, not a curated record. Lineage: Eukaryota; Viridiplantae; Streptophyta; Magnoliopsida; Zingiberales; Zingiberaceae. The transcript has 3 exons.